Molecule: ribosomal RNA, 468 nt
Filed under: uncultured bacterium
Lineage: Bacteria
Description: partial 16S ribosomal RNA
Rfam family: Bacterial small subunit ribosomal RNA
Source: RNAcentral
GACGAACGCUGGCGGCGUGCUUAACACAUGCAAGUCGAACGGACAGGCCCUGCUUUUGUGGGGUGCUCGAGUGGCGAACGGGUGAGUAACACGUGAGUAACCUGCCCUUGACUUUGGGAUAACUUCAGGAAACUGGGGCUAAUACCGGAUAGGAGCUCCUGCUGCAUGGUGGGGGUUGGAAAGUUUCGGCGGUUGGGGAUGGACUCGCGGCUUAUCAGCUUGUUGGUGGGGUAGUGGCUUACCAAGGCUUUGACGGGUAGCCGGCCUGAGAGGGUGACCGGCCACAUUGGGACUGAGAUACGGCCCAGACUGCUACGGGAGGCAGCAGUGGGGAAUAUUGCACAAUGGGCGGAAGCCUGAUGCAGCAACGCCGCGUGCGGGAGGACGGCCUUAGGGUUGUAAACCGCUUUCGCCUGUGACGAAGCGUGAGUGACGGUAAUGGGUAAAGAAGCACCGGCUAACUACGUG